Molecule: ribosomal RNA, 253 nt
Filed under: uncultured bacterium
Lineage: Bacteria
Description: partial 16S ribosomal RNA
Rfam family: Bacterial small subunit ribosomal RNA
Source: RNAcentral
UACGUAGGGUGCAAGCGUUGUCCGGAAUUAUUGGGCGUAAAGAGCUCGUAGGCGGCUUGUCGCGUCGGCUGUGAAAACCCGGGGCUUAACCCCUGGCUUGCAGUGGAUACGGACAGACUAGAGGUAGGUAGGGGAGAAUGGAAUUCCCGGUGUAGCGGUGAAAUGCGCAGAUAUCGGGAGGAACACCGGUGGCGAAGGCGGUUCUCUGGGCCUUACCUGACGCUGAGGAGCGAAAGCGUGGGGAGCGAACAGG